RNAcentral lists this ribosomal RNA (253 nucleotides) under uncultured bacterium. Its description in RNAcentral is "partial 16S ribosomal RNA". It matches the Rfam family "Bacterial small subunit ribosomal RNA", at positions 524 to 776 of the family's 1533-position model. The record is from RNAcentral.
UACGUAGGGCGCAAGCGUUGUCCGGAAUUAUUGGGCGUAAAGAGCUCGUAGGCGGCUUGUCACGUCGGGUGUGAAAGCCCGGGGCUUAACCCCGGGUCUGCAUUCGAUACGGGCUGGCUAGAGUGUGGUAGGGGAGAUCGGAAUUCCUGGUGUAGCGGUGAAAUGCGCAGAUAUCAGGAGGAACACCGGUGGCGAAGGCGGAUCUCUGGGCCUGUCCUGACGCUGAGGCGCGAAAGCGUGGGGAGCAAACGGG